This 439-nucleotide ribosomal RNA is filed under the name uncultured bacterium. RNAcentral's name for it is "partial 16S ribosomal RNA". It matches the Rfam family "Bacterial small subunit ribosomal RNA", at positions 338 to 795 of the family's 1533-position model. The record is from RNAcentral.
CCUACGGGUGGCAGCAGUGGGGAAUAUUGCACAAUGGGGGAAACCCUGAUGCAGCGACGCCGCGUGAGUGAAGAAGUAUUUCGGUAUGUAAAGCUCUAUCAGCAGGGAAGAAAAUGACGGUAACUGAGUAAGAAGCCCCGGCUAACUACGUGCCAGCAGCCGCGGUAAUACGUAGGGGGCAAGCGUUAUCCGGAUUUACUGGGGGUAAGGGAGCGUAGACGGCAGCAAAAGUCUGGAGUGAAAUUCCGGGGCUUAACCCCGGAACUGCUUUGGAAACUGUGCAGCGAGAGUGCAGGAGAGGUAAGUGGAAUUGCUAGUGUAGCGGUGAAAUUCGUAGAUAUUAGGAGGAACACCAGUGGCGAAGGCGGCUUACUGGACUGUAACUGACGUUGAGGCUCGAAAGCGUGGGGAGCAAACAGGAUUAGAUACCCUGGUAGUC